RNAcentral lists this microRNA (22 nucleotides) under Mus musculus (house mouse). Its description in RNAcentral is "mmu-miR-6917-3p". The record is from miRBase by way of RNAcentral. Lineage: Eukaryota; Metazoa; Chordata; Mammalia; Rodentia; Muridae.
GUCACUUCUCUUCCCACCACAG